This 72-nucleotide transfer RNA is filed under the name Labedaea rhizosphaerae. Its description in RNAcentral is "Labedella sp. RS-49 tRNA". It matches the Rfam family "tRNA". From Rfam's summary of the family: Transfer RNA (tRNA) molecules are approximately 80 nucleotides in length. Their secondary structure includes four short double-helical elements and three loops (D, anti-codon, and T loops). Further hydrogen bonds mediate the characteristic L-shaped molecular structure. tRNAs have two regions of fundamental functional importance: the anti-codon, which is responsible for specific mRNA codon recognition, and the 3' end, to which the tRNAs corresponding amino acid is attached (by aminoacyl-tRNA synthetases). tRNAs cope with the degeneracy of the genetic code in two manners: having more than one tRNA (with a specific anti-codon) for a particular amino acid; and 'wobble' base-pairing, i.e. permitting non-standard base-pairing at the 3rd anti-codon position. Lineage: Bacteria; Bacillati; Actinomycetota; Actinomycetes; Pseudonocardiales; Pseudonocardiaceae. The record is from Rfam by way of RNAcentral.
GGCGCGUUGGUCCAGCGGUACGGAUGCCCGGUUCUCGUCCGGGGGACGCGGGUUCGACUCCCGCACGCGCUG